This 499-nucleotide RNase P RNA is filed under the name Bacteroidota bacterium. RNAcentral describes it as "Bacteroidetes bacterium (activated sludge metagenome) RNase P RNA component class A". It matches the Rfam family "Bacterial RNase P class A". Rfam says of the family: Ribonuclease P (RNase P) is a ubiquitous endoribonuclease, found in archaea, bacteria and eukarya as well as chloroplasts and mitochondria. Its best characterised activity is the generation of mature 5'-ends of tRNAs by cleaving the 5'-leader elements of precursor-tRNAs. RNAcentral also lists the same sequence under 1 other name. The record is from RNAcentral. Lineage: Bacteria; Pseudomonadati; Bacteroidota.
UCGGCAAGUCGGUCUGUCGCGCUGGGAAGCUCACGCUUUUCCGGUGAGGAAAGUCCGGGCAACACAGGGCAGUGUACCCCGGGAACACCGGGGGAUGUCAACCAGGCUCGUCUUGGCUGACAGACAGAAAGUGUAGCAGAAAAUAACAUCUCCCGCUGCUUCGGCAACGGGAGGAAUGGUGAAAACGUGAGGUAAGAGCUCACGCUUCUCAACGGUAACGUUGGGUUGGUACAAACCUUACACGUUGAAAGACCAAGUAAACCUCCCUAUGCAACGGCCCGUUGCGGUCCUUUUGGGGACGGGAGGAGGGUAGGUUGCUAAGGGUCCCUUAACGGGGAACAAGAUAAAUGGCAGACCCGCCUUCGCUAAAGCUAUGACGAGCUUGGCUCGUAUGAUGUUGUCACCGAGUUCACCUCAAAUGACAACUCAUUUUGCGGACAUCGUCCGCCGUAGCCUCAGCGAAGGCGGACAGAACCCGGCUUACAGACUUGCCUUUUUU